This 465-nucleotide ribosomal RNA is filed under the name uncultured bacterium. RNAcentral describes it as "partial 16S ribosomal RNA". It matches the Rfam family "Bacterial small subunit ribosomal RNA", at positions 338 to 795 of the family's 1533-position model. The record is from RNAcentral.
CCUACGGGUGACUGCAGUGGGGAAUAUUGCGCAAUGGGCGAAAGCCUGACGCAGCGACGCCGCGUGCGGGAUGAAGGUCUUCGGAUCGUAAACCUCUGUCAGCAGGGAAGAACGGUCACUGUGCUAAUCAGCAGUGAAUUGACGGUACCUGCAAAGGAAGCACCGGCUAACUCCGUGCCAGCAGCCGCGGUAAUACGGAGGGUGCGAGCGUUAAUCGGAAUUACUGGGCGUAAAGCGCUCGUAGGCGGUAUGUCAAGUCAAGGGUGAAAUCCCCGGGCUCAACGUGGGAACUGCCUUUGAAACUGGCAGACUGGAGUGUGUGAGAGGAUAGUGGAAUUCCAGGUGUAGGAGUGAAAUCCGUAGAGAUCUGGAGGAACAUCAGUGGCGAAGGCGACUAUCUGGCACAUAACUGACGCUGAGGAGCGAAAGCGUGGGUAGCAAACAGGAUUAGAUACCCUGGUAGUC